Gallaecimonas xiamenensis 3-C-1 is the source of this 37-nucleotide regulatory RNA element. It matches the Rfam family "JUMPstart RNA". The record is from Rfam. Lineage: Bacteria; Pseudomonadati; Pseudomonadota; Gammaproteobacteria; Enterobacterales; Gallaecimonadaceae.
CAGCAUUUGGGGGCUGCAACCUAGGGGCGGUAGCGUC